CUGGGGCAACAGACUCACUGCUGGGGUCCUCGGUUCCUCGGGUCCGAACAUACACAGGUGGACUCAAAUGAGGGACCAAACAUACGUGAACAUAACACUAAACUAUUCCCCAAAAACCCCCUAAAACAUCAUGGAAUAAUCAUAGAAAAACAUGCAAGAAAUGGCUGAACAGGGCACUUUCGGCGGCAGGUUCGACGGCCGAAAGUCCCUCCAGAGCCGAAAGUCAGGCAGGUUCGGCGGCACCUUCGGCGGCCGAAACUCCCAGACAGAGGCGAAACUCAUGCAUGUUCGGCGGCACCUUCGGCGGCCGAAAGUCCCAGACAGAGACGAAAGUCUCCUUUCGGGGGCAAGCUUCGGCAGCCGAAGGCUGCCUCCACAAGCAUGUUCGGCGGCCGAAAGUUCCUUCGGCUGCCGAACCUGGUUUCUCCCAGAAUGGCAGAAACUCAGCUCCCCUAUGCAUUUAUGUCUCCUAUCUCAUCCAAACAUGCAUAAACCUAUUCUACAACAUUCCUCAAUCAUACACAAGCAAACAUACAAGUUCCUAGGGGCAUCAAACCAUCAAAAACCCCAAUUACAACACACAAGCAACUUACAUUGUCCAAAAACACAAAUAACAGCCAUAAACCUAACCAAGAGCUAAACAUGCAUUCUACCCCAUAUAUCUUGCAUAAAACUUACUUUAAACAUGAAAUGAGCUUAAGAUCGGCUCUUACCUCUUGAAGAUCGAGAGAGAGACGUCCUAACUCGGAGGUGGGAGAUUUUUGGGUUCUUGAACCUCAAAGCUCCAAAACUUGCUUAAAACUCGGAAAUCUUCAAAACAAGAUGAAAACUAGUGAAAAACUUGAAAGAUCUGAAGGAAAAGACUCAAGAUCGGUGAGGGGUGGCGGAGAACUCACCUUGGCCGGAAAUGGGGAAAAAGCUCGCCCGUUUUCGGCUAAGGGACCCUUUUAUAGUGGCUGGCCAGGCCACGUUCGGGGGCCGAACGUGCCUCCGCGUGCAUGCCAUGUUCGGCAGCCGAACUUGAGGUUCGGC
This 1032-nucleotide long non-coding RNA is filed under the name Manihot esculenta (cassava). RNAcentral describes it as "long non-coding RNA (MESC_LNC009525)". Lineage: Eukaryota; Viridiplantae; Streptophyta; Magnoliopsida; Malpighiales; Euphorbiaceae. The record is from RNAcentral.